UACGGAGGGGGCUAGCGUUGUUCGGAAUUACUGGGCGUAAAGCGCACGUAGGCGGCGCGUCAAGUCAGGGGUGAAAGGCCUGGGCUCAACCUGGGAACGGCCUUUGAUACUGACGUGCUGGAGUCCGGGAGAGGGUGACGGAAUUCCCAGUGUAGAGGUGAAAUUCGUAGAUAUUGGGAAGAACACCGGUGGCGAAGGCGGUCACCUGGCCCGGGACUGACGCUGAGGUGCGAAAGCGUGGGGAGCAAACAGG
Molecule: unclassified non-coding RNA, 253 nt
Filed under: uncultured Alphaproteobacteria bacterium
Lineage: Bacteria; Pseudomonadati; Pseudomonadota; Alphaproteobacteria
Description: contains 16S-23S intergenic spacer region
Rfam family: Bacterial small subunit ribosomal RNA
Source: RNAcentral